This 319-nucleotide unclassified non-coding RNA is filed under the name Bombus terrestris (buff-tailed bumblebee). RNAcentral describes it as "misc RNA ENSBTSG00005032780.1". The record is from RNAcentral. Lineage: Eukaryota; Metazoa; Arthropoda; Insecta; Hymenoptera; Apidae.
UUAAUUUACAGAAAUCCGCGCUGCACAAUCUACUUAAACUAUAAAGACCUUUAUUUCCGAUCUGCUACUCGAUCAGAAUGAAUCACGUCACGUAGUUGCGCUUGAUUUAUGAAACACUUUUCCUCGGAUUUUGCCAAACUUUUACGCGAUACCACACGAUACGCCCGGUUAAAAUUGAACGAUGAAUUUUUCGCGUGUCCCGAUACAACUUGCUUGGUCUCAGAAAAUUUUUGACAUAAAACAAAAGCAAAGAUCGCACGCUUCUCUUUCGUCAUUCGAUAAUUUGUCAUCCGACAGGAUAAUUAAAUUCCGAUCCUCA